Molecule: ribosomal RNA, 1691 nt
Filed under: Escherichia coli
Lineage: Bacteria; Pseudomonadati; Pseudomonadota; Gammaproteobacteria; Enterobacterales; Enterobacteriaceae
Description: partial 23S ribosomal RNA
Rfam family: Bacterial large subunit ribosomal RNA
Source: RNAcentral
AUGCGUUGUUGGGUAGGGGAGCGUUCUGUAAGCCUGCGAAGGUGUGCUGUGAGGCAUGCUGGAGGUAUCAGAAGUGCGAAUGCUGACAUAAGUAACGAUAAAGCGGGUGAAAAGCCCGCUCGCCGGAAGACCAAGGGUUCCUGUCCAACGUUAAUCGGGGCAGGGUGAGUCGACCCCUAAGGCGAGGCCGAAAGGCGUAGUCGAUGGGAAACAGGUUAAUAUUCCUGUACUUGGUGUUACUGCGAAGGGGGGACGGAGAAGGCUAUGUUGGCCGGGCGACGGUUGUCCCGGUUUAAGCGUGUAGGCUGGUUUUCUAGGCAAAUCCGGAAAAUCAAGGCUGAGGCGUGAUGACGAGGCACUGCGGUGCUGAAGCAACAAAUGCCCUGCUUCCAGGAAAAGCCUCUAAGCAUCAGGUAACAUCAAAUCGUACCCCAAACCGACACAGGUGGUCAGGUAGAGAAUACCAAGGCGCUUGAGAGAACUCGGGUGAAGGAACUAGGCAAAAUGGUGCCGUAACUUCGGGAGAAGGCACGCUGAUAUGUAGGUGAAGUCCCUCGCGGAUGGAGCUGAAAUCAGUCGAAGAUACCAGCUGGCUGCAACUGUUUAUUAAAAACACAGCACUGUGCAAACACGAAAGUGGACGUAUACGGUGUGACGCCUGCCCGGUGCCGGAAGGUUAAUUGAUGGGGUUAGCGCAAGCGAAGCUCUUGAUCGAAGCCCCGGUAAACGGCGGCCGUAACUAUAACGGUCCUAAGGUAGCGAAAUUCCUUGUCGGGUAAGUUCCGACCUGCACGAAUGGCGUAAUGAUGGCCAGGCUGUCUCCACCCGAGACUCAGUGAAAUUGAACUCGCUGUGAAGAUGCAGUGUACCCGCGGCAAGACGGAAAGACCCCGUGAACCUUUACUAUAGCUUGACACUGAACAUUGAGCCUUGAUGUGUAGGAUAGGUGGGAGGCUUUGAAGUGUGGACGCCAGUCUGCAUGGAGCCGACCUUGAAAUACCACCCUUUAAUGUUUGAUGUUCUAACGUUGACCCGUAAUCCGGGUUGCGGACAGUGUCUGGUGGGUAGUUUGACUGGGGCGGUCUCCUCCUAAAGAGUAACGGAGGAGCACGAAGGUUGGCUAAUCCUGGUCGGACAUCAGGAGGUUAGUGCAAUGGCAUAAGCCAGCUUGACUGCGAGCGUGACGGCGCGAGCAGGUGCGAAAGCAGGUCAUAGUGAUCCGGUGGUUCUGAAUGGAAGGGCCAUCGCUCAACGGAUAAAAGGUACUCCGGGGAUAACAGGCUGAUACCGCCCAAGAGUUCAUAUCGACGGCGGUGUUUGGCACCUCGAUGUCGGCUCAUCACAUCCUGGGGCUGAAGUAGGUCCCAAGGGUAUGGCUGUUCGCCAUUUAAAGUGGUACGCGAGCUGGGUUUAGAACGUCGUGAGACAGUUCGGUCCCUAUCUGCCGUGGGCGCUGGAGAACUGAGGGGGGCUGCUCCUAGUACGAGAGGACCGGAGUGGACGCAUCACUGGUGUUCGGGUUGUCAUGCCAAUGGCACUGCCCGGUAGCUAAAUGCGGAAGAGAUAAGUGCUGAAAGCAUCUAAGCACGAAACUUGCCCCGAGAUGAGUUCUCCCUGACUCCUUGAGAGUCCUGAAGGAACGUUGAAGACGACGACGUUGAUAGGCCGGGUGUGUAAGCGCAGCGAUGCGU